GACGAACGCUGGCGGCGUGCUUAACACAUGCAAGUCGAACGCUGAAGCCCUUUCGGGGGUGGAUGAGUGGCGAACGGGUGAGUAACACGUGGGUAAUCUGCCCUGUACUUCGGGAUAAGCCUUGGAAACGGGGUCUAAUACCGGAUAGGACCUGUCCUCGCAUGGGGGUGGGUGGAAAGUUCCGGCGGUAUGGGAUGAGCCCGCGGCCUAUCAGCUCGUUGGUGGGGUAGUGGCCUACCAAGGCGACGACGGGUAGCCGGCCUGAGAGGGUGGCCGGUCACACUGGGACUGAGACACGGCCCAGACUCCUACGGGAGGCAGCAGUGGGGAAUCUUGCGCAAUGGGCGAAAGCCUGACGCAGCAACGCCGCGUGGGGGAUGACGGCCUUCGGGUUGUAAACCUCUUUCGACAUCGACGAAGGGGCCCUGUUGUGGGGUUUUGACGGUAGGUGUAGAAGAAGCACCGGCUAACUACGUGCCAGCCGCCGCUGUAA
RNAcentral lists this ribosomal RNA (493 nucleotides) under uncultured bacterium. RNAcentral's name for it is "partial 16S ribosomal RNA". It matches the Rfam family "Bacterial small subunit ribosomal RNA", at positions 28 to 523 of the family's 1533-position model. The record is from RNAcentral.